UACGUAGGGGGCAAGCGUUGUCCGGAAUCAUUGGGCGUAAAGAGCGUGUAGGCGGCCCGAUAAGUCCGCUGUGAAAGUCCAGGGCUCAACCUCGAGACGCCGAUGGAAACCAUGUGGCUAGAGUCCGGAAGAGGAGAGUGGAAUUCCUGGUGUAGCGGUGAAAUGCGCAGAUAUCAGGAAGAACACCCGUGGCUAAGGCGGCUCUCUAGUACGGUACUGACGCUGAGACGCGAAAGCGUGGGGAGCGAACAGG
This 253-nucleotide ribosomal RNA is filed under the name uncultured bacterium. RNAcentral's name for it is "partial 16S ribosomal RNA". It matches the Rfam family "Bacterial small subunit ribosomal RNA", at positions 524 to 776 of the family's 1533-position model. The record is from RNAcentral.